CUCAAAGAGGAUGGAAACCCAGAGAGGGGAGGAUAGAGAUGAGGCAGAGACUAGGGGAAGCAGGAUAGCGACUGGUCAGGGGCAGAGACUCAGGGAGGAUAGAGACUCACAGAGAGGUGAGGAUAGAGACUUGGGAGGGACUCAGGAAGCAUAGCGACUGUGGGGCAGAGAGUCAGAGAGGGGAGGAUACAGACUUGGGAGGGCAGAGACUCAGAAACAGAAUGUUCCCAUUAGGAACAUGGUGUUGCGGGGAGCUGCCUCCCCCAGCCCCUGCUCCCUCCCUCACCGCCAGACUAUGAUGAGAGAAGCCACCUGCAUGACACCUUCACCCAGAUGACCCAUGCCCUGCAGGAGCUGGCUGCUGCCCAGGGAUCCUUUGAGGUUGCCUUCCCUGAUGCCGCGGAGAAAAUGAAGAAGGUCAUUACACAGCUUAAAGAAGGUAAAAUACACUCCAUCUCUCCUUCCCCAGACACACACACAC
This 481-nucleotide small RNA is filed under the name Pan troglodytes (chimpanzee). RNAcentral's name for it is "retained intron". The record is from RNAcentral. Lineage: Eukaryota; Metazoa; Chordata; Mammalia; Primates; Hominidae.